Molecule: ribosomal RNA, 423 nt
Filed under: uncultured Tissierellia bacterium
Lineage: Bacteria; Bacillati; Bacillota; Tissierellia
Description: bacterial SSU rRNA
Rfam family: Bacterial small subunit ribosomal RNA
Source: RNAcentral
GUGGGGAAUUUUGCACAAUGGGGGCAACCCUGAUGCAGCGACGCCGCGUGAUUUAGAAGGCCUUCGGGUUGUAAAAAUCUUUUGUAUAGGAAGAAAAUGACAGUACUAUACGAAUAAGGUCCGGCUAAUUACGUGCCAGCAGCCGCGGUAAUACGUAAGGACCGAGCGUUGUCCGGAAUCAUUGGGCGUAAAGGGUACGUAGGCGGUUAGAAAAGUUAGAAGUGAAAGGCUAUAGCUCAACUAUAGUAAGCUUUUAAAACUGUUUAACUUGAGAGAUGGAAGGGAAAGUGGAAUUCCUAGUGUAGCGGUGAAAUGCGCAGAUAUUAGGAGGAAUACCGGUGGCGAAGGCGACUUUCUGGCCAUUAUCUGACGCUGAGGUACGAAAGCGUGGGUAGCAAACAGGAUUAGAAACCCCAGUAGUCC